Molecule: non-coding RNA, 35 nt
Filed under: Schistosoma curassoni
Lineage: Eukaryota; Metazoa; Platyhelminthes; Trematoda; Strigeidida; Schistosomatidae
Source: RNAcentral
GCUGAUGAGUCCCAGAUAGGACGAAACGCGCGUUC